UACGUAGGGUGCGAGCGUUAAUCGGAAUUACUGGGCGUAAAGCGUGCGCAGGCGGCUUUGCAAGACAGAUGUGAAAUCCCCGGGCUCAACCGGGGAACUGCAUUUGUGACUGCAAGGCUAGAGUACGGCAGAGGGGGAUGGAAUUCCGCGUGUAGCAGUGAAAUGCGUAGAUAUGCGGAGGAACACCAAUGGCGAAGGCAAUCCCCUGGGCCUGUACUGACGCUCAUGCACGAAAGCGUGGGGAGCAAACAGA
Molecule: ribosomal RNA, 253 nt
Filed under: uncultured bacterium
Lineage: Bacteria
Description: partial 16S ribosomal RNA
Rfam family: Bacterial small subunit ribosomal RNA
Source: RNAcentral